Molecule: transfer RNA, 71 nt
Filed under: Marmota monax (woodchuck)
Lineage: Eukaryota; Metazoa; Chordata; Mammalia; Rodentia; Sciuridae
Description: tRNA.Ala
Source: RNAcentral
GGGGUUGUGGCUCAGUGUUAAAGUGCUUGCCUAGCACGUAUGAGGCACUGGGUUCAAUCAUCAGCACCACA